This is a long non-coding RNA of Asparagus officinalis (garden asparagus), 623 nucleotides long. RefSeq lists it as uncharacterized. Lineage: Eukaryota; Viridiplantae; Streptophyta; Magnoliopsida; Asparagales; Asparagaceae. The transcript has 3 exons. The record is from RefSeq and is a predicted model, not a curated record.
AAAGCCCCCAAAUUCUCUCCUGUGACCCCAACCCCUCCUCCUCCAUCAAGCCCCAAAAAUCUGGAUCUCUCUCGUUCGAUCUCUCUCUUGAGCUCCCCCAACUCCGUCGACUUCCCCCAACUUCGCCUCCGACGACAUCCCACAUCACCGUUGACCACUCUCGAUCUCCCUCGAGCUCUCUCUCGAGAUCCCCCAACUCCGCCGAUGACCCCUACUCCGCCGACAUCCCCCUCCUCCGCCGACACCCACCAACUCCUCCUCUACCAAACAUGGACUUUCUCUUCUCUCUCCCUCUUCACAAUCUAGUGGUAGGUCUGUGGAGACUACGACUGUAAUGGAGAUCUUUACAGUUCGGUUUGAGAGGAUUUUCGUUGCUUUUUAUCAGUUAAAAGUAUUUUAAAUUUCUGUAGAUUGAGUGGGAUUUCUAAAUAUAUGAUGACACAAUUAGUGAAGAAAACUUGCCGAUGGAGAUGGUCGCUGGUUUUUGGAGGAUAGGGACAGCGAGGGGCCAUGGACAUUCCUUCGAAACCAAUUCUAAUUUUCCAUUUGGGUUAUGUCCUAGAGUGUGUUUCAGAAGUUCAUAGCUUCAAAUUGCAGUUAAUUCGCAUCUCCUGGCUUAGGUG